Corvus hawaiiensis (hawaiian crow) is the source of this 881-nucleotide long non-coding RNA. RefSeq lists it as uncharacterized. The transcript has 3 exons. NCBI's taxonomy places the organism in Eukaryota, Metazoa, Chordata, Aves, Passeriformes, Corvidae. The record is from RefSeq and is a predicted model, not a curated record.
GUGCCUGAUGCUCUACCCGCCCCUGAUCACGGGACAGUGGCCCCUGACCGGCCUGGUGGGGGACACCUCUGUCUCCCCUGCACCCGCAGUACUGCACUCUAACCAGUAGAAAUUUUCCUGUCAAAAACUACCAGAACCAAGAGAACAAAGGGGGAUGCCUUGCCCGCUCCGGGCUGUUCACGCCGCGGGGUGAACUUCAACGUAGAAUGGUUUAAGUGAGGCAGAAUCACCACAGGACAAGGAUAUAUUGAGUUUUGGGAAGAUCUACUGCAUAAGAAAUGGUCUCCAUAUCUUAAAGGUCUUCGACAAACAUCCCCAGGUCUGCACUGCUUUAGCUGACUACUGAUGAGCUCUUUGUAGCUGCAAGUUCUCUACUGCCAAGGCUGUGCUCCUUUUUUUAUCAUCCCAUGCCUCUUCUACAGUGUCCUGGGAGACCACUCUCCGGGGACUCUGCUGUCAUACCAGGCCUGUAUUCCGCUAUAUAUUAUUAUGUUAUGCAUCAUUAUGUUAGUUAUAAAAGAUGUUAUACAUCAUUAUGUUAGUUAUAAAUAUCUCAUUCUCCACAGUAGAACUUCUUGUCACUCUCCAUAUAAAAGCCACAGUGGUGCCAUACAAAGUUAAACAAAAGUAAAACAGUUAGACAUAGCUACCUACCCAUUAGAGACAUUGGUGUUGCAACUAAGUAAAAGAAAGCCACAGACAGGUCAAUAAAAGCUCAGGCAAAAUGAGGCUCAGUCCCAAGGCCUUGCAAAGCCAGUACAAAGCCUGUGGCCUCCUGCCAGCAGUGGUGGUAUCAGGCUACAGGAUGAGAGUAAUUGCACGCAAGUUCUGCUUGUCUAACUCUUCUUGUCUUAAAAAAAAAUAAAAGAAAAACAACAUAA